UACGUAUGGUGCAAGCGUUAUCCGGAUUUACUGGGUGUAAAGGGAGCGUAGACGGAUAGGCAAGUCUGGAGUGAAAACCCGGGGCUCAACCCCGGGACUGCUUUGGAAACUGUUUAUCUAGAGUGCUGGAGAGGUAAGUGGAAUUCCUAGUGUAGCGGUGAAAUGCGUAGAUAUUAGGAGGAACACCAGUGGCGAAGGCGGCUUACUGGACAGUAACUGACGUUGAGGCUCGAAAGCGUGGGGAGCAAACAGG
RNAcentral lists this ribosomal RNA (253 nucleotides) under uncultured bacterium. RNAcentral's name for it is "partial 16S ribosomal RNA". It matches the Rfam family "Bacterial small subunit ribosomal RNA", at positions 524 to 776 of the family's 1533-position model. The record is from RNAcentral.